RNAcentral lists this ribosomal RNA (360 nucleotides) under Stenopelmatus nr. 1 F2004. RNAcentral describes it as "partial small subunit ribosomal RNA". Lineage: Eukaryota; Metazoa; Arthropoda; Insecta; Orthoptera; Stenopelmatidae. The record is from RNAcentral.
CUAUUAUUUAAAGUGUAAAUGUAUUAAGCUUGAGUAGUAUUAGUUAAUAUCUUAAAACUCAAAGAAUUUGGCGGUGUUUUAGUCUAUUCAGAGGAAUCUGUCCUGUAAUCGAUAAUUCACGUGUAAUUGAACUUAAUUUUGUAUAUUCAGCUUGUAUAUCGCCGUCAUCAGAUUAUUUUUGAAGAAUUUAAAUUUUCUUAUAAUUAAUUAGAUUAUAUGUCAGGUCAAGGUGCAGCUUAUAAUUAAGAGGAGAUGGAUUACAAUAAAAUUAUUUAUAUGGAUAUUAGAUUGUUAUAUUUAAUUGAAGGUGGAUUUGAUAGUAAUGUUAUUUAUUGAUAAUUUGAUUAUAGCUCUAAAACA